RNAcentral lists this long non-coding RNA (880 nucleotides) under Ursus maritimus (polar bear). RNAcentral's name for it is "lncRNA (ENSUMAG00000019259.1)". The record is from RNAcentral. Lineage: Eukaryota; Metazoa; Chordata; Mammalia; Carnivora; Ursidae.
CCACCCUCUGCACCACGAGCGCCGUCGUCUGGGGACUGCAUGGCCGAUGGACCUGCCUCCUUGGAGCCCACCCCUGCGACACUGAGGCUCCCUCAAGAAGCUCCACUCCUCUGCGCACAAGAUUGCUGGGGAUGCCCAGGGCGCCUGUGCGAACAGACCUCAGGGAGAGUAUAUAUAGGGAGAUCAGGAGAACUGUUGGUCAAGCUACUGUUGACUUAGACAUGGCAGAGGUGAAUGGGAAACCACAAGAGCCCAGCACAGACUCAGAACCACCAAUCACAAGCAUUAACCAACCAACUACAAGCAAUAGACAGAGGAUGAAUCUGAAGAACUGCUGUCAACCCAACAUCAAAGACACUGAAAAGGUCAGAUCACACAACCCAUGGUCCUUCUCUACAUCCUCACCUACCACACCCCCAAGACUCCUACCUGUCCUUGUCUGGGACAAACCACCUCCUCAGCCCACACCCCUUUUAUAAAUCCACCCUUCCCAUGCACCUCCCCAUCCACUGCUUCCAAACUAAUAUCCUCUCUUUCCUUACCAGUUGAAGCAGAUCGUCAAGAGGAUAAAAUUAGCUCUUCAACAGAGUUCAGGAAAUCCAAAGAAAACAAAAAUGCUGAACAUAGGAGCCUGUUACCACAGGGCACAUAAAAAGAAGAAUCUAAAUAAGGCGGUCCAAGAGCAAAAGAACCUGGACAACUCUGCCUCUGCGAGUAAUGCCUCAUGCAUAGUAGAGCCCAAUGAACUACAAGUUUUCUCAGCAUCCCCAGUGGAAGUUCUAAAAAAACGUUCAACCCGUAAAGACUAAACCUCCCACCAAAAGGUACACGAAUGGUGACAAUUAAUAAAAGCAACAUGUUUCGAAAAUGAUGUGUGUAU